UGUACUUCCUAUGAAAUAUUAUAUUACAACUUCAUUUUCGGUCGAUUGAGGCAAUAAUGGCAUGAGUUAAAUUGCACGAAACAGCUCUUAUUAUAAAACAAGAAGUACUGCUUAUAAUUUAAAUUUGAAAGAUGAUUAUCUUUUGAAUGUAAAAAAAAAAAUCAAAGCACGUCGGGACCUUUUAAAGUUGACGAUACGGUAUCGGUUUUGUCAUUGUUGAAGGUUAUACUGUUGUCAAUUUAUGGUAUCGCCUCACUUAAUUUAUAGUUGGUUCACAUUUUGUCAUGUCAAUAAUGUUGUCUAUCCUCUUACAGUACAUGAAGCAAUUUAGAACUAAUGUCGGACGGAGAUGCACCUUUAUACUUCUAUCAGAUUUUCUUUUUUGCCGUACAUCUGACAAAGCAAUCUGCUAGAAUCCUUUUUUUAUAGUCUUUUUUUUUUAUCAUGAAAAGGUUCCUGUCCAAAUU
This 467-nucleotide long non-coding RNA is filed under the name Mytilus galloprovincialis (Mediterranean mussel). Lineage: Eukaryota; Metazoa; Mollusca; Bivalvia; Mytilida; Mytilidae. The record is from RNAcentral.